UACAGAGGGUGCAAGCGUUAAUCGGAAUUACUGGGCGUAAAGCGUGCGUAGACGGUUAUGUAAGUCGGGUGUGAAAGCCCCGGGCUCAACCUGGGAAUUGCAUUCGAGACUGUGUAGCUAGGGUACGGAAGAGGGAAGCGGAAUUUCAGGUGUAGCGGUGAAAUGCGUAGAUAUCUGAAGGAACACCGAUGGCGAAGGCGGCGACCUGGAUAGAUACUGACGCUGAAGUGCGAAAGCGUGGGGAGCAAACAAG
This 253-nucleotide ribosomal RNA is filed under the name uncultured bacterium. Its description in RNAcentral is "partial 16S ribosomal RNA". It matches the Rfam family "Bacterial small subunit ribosomal RNA", at positions 524 to 776 of the family's 1533-position model. The record is from RNAcentral.